AACGGAGGGGGCAAGCGUUGUUCGGAAUUACUGGGCGUAAAGCGCGUGCAGGCGGUCUUUUAAGUUCCGUGUGAAAUCCCCCGGCUUAACCGGGGAACUGCGCGGAAAACUGGGAGACUUGAAUACGGGAGAAGAGGGCGGAAUUCCCAGUGUAGAGGUGAAAUUCGUAGAUAUUGGGAGGAACACCGGCGGCGAAAGCGGCUCUCUAGACCGAUAUUGACGCUCAUACGCGAGAGCGUGGGUAGCAAACAGG
RNAcentral lists this ribosomal RNA (253 nucleotides) under uncultured bacterium. Its description in RNAcentral is "partial 16S ribosomal RNA". It matches the Rfam family "Bacterial small subunit ribosomal RNA", at positions 524 to 776 of the family's 1533-position model. The record is from RNAcentral.